AGAGAAGUUUAAAGAUUUUUCGAAGAAACCUCUAAGCUGGUUCAGGAAUCAUUUUUUGCUCAGUUAAAAGUUGAAUCCUUUUGUUCUUUUCUUGUUUUUUCACUGAAUAUGGGACCUGGUCUUCAUGCAAUUUCUGUCUCUGCAUCUUUUAGGACAAGUCAAUAUUUCUAAAGUAGUAUAUGUUUGAGAGUAAGACUAGAGAGAUGAUUGUCUACACAACCGAAGGUUCUUUGCCAUUGCAAUUUCUCAGGGAUAAAUUUUUCCCCAUCAGAUUUUUAUCUCUAACCUUUUCUUUCUUCUUUCUUCUUUUUCUGGUAUCCACUACAGGAAGAAGCAAUCUUUAUUUGUGGUCCAGGAAUAAACAAAUGGUGAAGAUAGCCUUUAAGUAGGUGUUUGUUCACCUUUUAUUGUUGUUUUUCCUUUUUUGGGUUUUAAUGAUAGUAUAAGUUCUAAUUAAUUGAGGUUCUGUUUAAUUGAUAGGUGAGAAUACCUUAAACUAGGUGACUUGGUUGAGCAGAUAUUGUGCACAUCCGUAUUUGGAACUCCAUAGCAUGUCAGCUUCCUUAUUUGGCUAUCUAGAUAGACUAUUUUGUAGUGUGAAAAUGUUAUCUUCUUUUGAUGGGCUUUUGAAUAACGAAUCAUUAGUUUCUUUUCAUUGAUUAAUUUUAUAGAUUGAUUACACUUUUGUUGUUAGAGUAAGUUUUACUUGGUAAUAAAUUUGUAUAUUUCACCUUUAACCUUUUGGGUUCAUUUCUUGAACUUCUAUAUUUAUAGGUAUAAACUUGUUGAAAAAAGGAUGAGAGGCAUUGGCAGUGUGAGGAGGGACGUAAAAGAAAAGAAGAAAGGUGUGCGAAAAAGUGCAAGUUGAAAUACUGAUACUGAAAUCAUUAUGGUCAUUACUGUAAUGAUUAAAAUGUUAAGAAAAAGCUAGAGAUUGAGUUUCAAGAAAAGACCCUUGGGUUACUUGGCGCUAAGAUAGGCAUUGGUCAUUUAAGUUUCCUAUUCUUUGGGAAAUUCACUAUUAUUUGACCAUUUCAAUAUUCUUUUACCAUACUAGAGCUACU
RNAcentral lists this long non-coding RNA (1064 nucleotides) under Coffea arabica (coffee). RNAcentral describes it as "long non-coding RNA (CARA_LNC006249)". Lineage: Eukaryota; Viridiplantae; Streptophyta; Magnoliopsida; Gentianales; Rubiaceae. The record is from RNAcentral.